AUUGAACGCUGGCGGCAUGCCUUACACAUGCAAGUCGAACGGUAGAGUAGCAAUACUCGAGAGUGGCGAACGGGUGAGUAACAUAUCGGAACGUGCCCAAUCGUGGGGGAUAACGUAGAGAAAUUUACGCUAAUACCGCAUACGAUCUAAGGAUGAAAGCGGGGGAUCGCAAGACCUCGCGCGAUUGGAGCGGCUGAUAUCAGAUUAGGUUGUUGGUGAGGUAAAAGCUCACCAAGCCGACGAUCUGUAGCUGGUUUGAGAGAACGACCAGCCACACUGGGACUGAGACACGGCCCAGACUCCUACGGGAGGCAGCAGUGGGGAAUUUUGGACAAUGGGCGCAAGCCUGAUCCAGCAAUGCCGCGUGCAGGAU
Molecule: ribosomal RNA, 373 nt
Filed under: uncultured bacterium
Lineage: Bacteria
Description: bacterial SSU rRNA
Rfam family: Bacterial small subunit ribosomal RNA
Source: RNAcentral